AAUACCUAUUUCCUAAGAAUUUACUUACAUCUUAGACAAUUUAGAACCAGAACCACCGGCAAUCUUUUGUACGCGAAGAGAGGCAAGCUCUUGACGGAGCUCUUGUAAUUGCUCAGCCAAGUUCUCUUGCGAUUGCUUACGAAGUUCAAAGGUCUUUAAUGCCAUCUCGUCGUCGUCGUUGGUCAAGAGUAAACUCAGCGACACUGUUGCUUCCUACUAAAGUUUCCACCAAAGAAAAGCAGUCACACUAGU
Non-coding RNA from Schizosaccharomyces pombe (fission yeast), 252 nucleotides. The record is from the annotation of a GenBank genome assembly. Lineage: Eukaryota; Fungi; Ascomycota; Schizosaccharomycetes; Schizosaccharomycetales; Schizosaccharomycetaceae.